Molecule: long non-coding RNA, 1065 nt
Organism: Leopardus geoffroyi (Geoffroy's cat)
Lineage: Eukaryota; Metazoa; Chordata; Mammalia; Carnivora; Felidae
Exons: 2
Source: RefSeq, a predicted model, not a curated record
GAGUGUUGUAUGGAAACCAAUUUGACAAUAAAUUUCAUAUUUAAAAAAAAAAAGAAUAAAGUGAAAAAAGAAACCAAAAAAAAAAAACAACAACAAAUUCAAAGUUGACCAUUAUUGCUUAAAGACCUGAAGAAGAGCCUGAGGAAACAGAAUGCCUCCACCCACCACCCCACUCACCUCUGAUCCAGGAUCUUGCUCCUCUCCUGGCUCACUGCCCUGUAUAAAUCCACCUUCCUUCUGAAGGCAAUCUCAGCUGGUGUCCAGCCCAUCCCUCCUCUCUCUAGCCCUGGCAACUUCUAGCUAGUCAUACCUUUCAUCCAUGAGGUUUUGUUUUCUUUUCCUUCUUAAUUAGCACACCUGGAGGUUUAUAUGUUUUAUUACUCUUUACAAACAACAGGACAUUUGGUUUAGUUGGUCAUCUUUUUUUCAUUUUUAUUUCACCUGAAAAUUUUCUUGCUAAAAUUAACACUGGUCAAUGUUAAUGACGUGUAGCCAAUGACGUGUAGCCAAUCCAGUGAUUUCUUUUCAUUCCUUAUUUAACUUAACCCAUCCAAAACGUUUAAUAUGACUGCCUGUUCCCAUAUUUGUUAACUUUUUAAUUGAAGUAUAACAUACAUACUAUAAUAUGCACAGAUUCAGGUGUACAGCUUGAUAAUUUUUUUUUUAAGUUAGCAUGUGAACAUACCCACAUAGCCACUCCCCAGAGCAAUAUACAGAUAUUGCUUCCUAAUUGUUGAGGUGCAUUGUUCUUCAGAAAGCUCUGGUCAACCUCUGCUAAGACAUUUCCAGCCAGAAUCUGCCUCUUCCUUCAAUCCUGCAGACAUUUGCAUAAAGAUCUGGAGGACCAAUCACUACAGAAACGCUUAGACAAGUCAACUUCAAUAACUUCACCAAAGGGUAUGUGAGGAUUUUUAAUUCCUAUUUAAAGAGUUGGGAAAUACACAAUUCAGAUCACAGUUGUCUUAACAAUAAAAGCAGUAAUGCAUAACUCAUUUGAAUGGAGCCUUUGUGUUUAUGAUAACCCUAUGCUUCCCCUCUACAAUGAAAUAAACAUGCUCCCCAUCA